UGAGGAAUAUUGGUCAAUGGACGCAAGUCUGAACCAGCCAAGUAGCGUGCAGGAUGACGGCCCUAUGGGUUGUAAACUGCUUUUAUAUGGGGAUAAAGUGGGGAACGUGUUCCCUUUUGCAGGUACCAUAUGAAUAAGGAACGGCUAAUUCCGUGCCAGCAGCCGCGGUAAUACGGAAGGUUCGGGCGUUAUCCGGAUUUAUUGGGUUUAAAGGGAGCGUAGGCCGUUUGGUAAGCGUGUUGUGAAAUGUAGGAGCUCAACUUCUAGAUUGCAGCGCGAACUGUCAGACUUGAGUGCGCACAACGUAGGCGGAAUUCAUGGUGUAGCGGUGAAAUGCUUAGAUAUCAUGAAGAACUCCGAUUGCGAAGGCAGCUUUCGGGAGCGCAACUGACGCUGAAGCUCGAAGGUGCGGGUAUCGAACAGG
This 424-nucleotide ribosomal RNA is filed under the name Verrucomicrobiota bacterium. RNAcentral's name for it is "Verrucomicrobia bacterium partial 16S ribosomal RNA". It matches the Rfam family "Bacterial small subunit ribosomal RNA", at positions 355 to 776 of the family's 1533-position model. The record is from RNAcentral. Lineage: Bacteria; Pseudomonadati; Verrucomicrobiota.